UCCUACGGGAGGCUGCAGUGGGGAAUAUUGGACAAUGGGCGCAAGCCUGAUCCAGCCAUGCCGCGUGGGUGAAGAAGGCCUUAGGGUUGUAAACCCCUUUCAGCGGGGAAGAUAAUGACGGUACCCGCAGAAGAAGUCCCGGCUAACUCCGUGCCAGCAGCCGCGGUAAUACGGAGGGGACUAGCGUUGUUCGGAAUUACUGGGCGUAAAGCGCACGUAGGCGGAUUGUUAAGUCAGGGGUGAAAUCCCGAGGCUCAACCUCGGAACUGCCUUUGCUACUGGCAAUCUCGAGUCCGGAAGAGGUGAGUGGAAUUCCUAGUGUAGAGGUGAAAUUCGUAGAUAUUAGGAAGAACACCAGUGGCGAAGGCGGCUCACUGGUCCGGUACUGACGCUGAGGUGCGAAAGCGUGGGGAGCAAACAGGAUUAGAUACCCUAGUAGUC
This 441-nucleotide ribosomal RNA is filed under the name uncultured Hyphomicrobiaceae bacterium. Its description in RNAcentral is "bacterial SSU rRNA". It matches the Rfam family "Bacterial small subunit ribosomal RNA", at positions 337 to 795 of the family's 1533-position model. The record is from RNAcentral. Lineage: Bacteria; Pseudomonadati; Pseudomonadota; Alphaproteobacteria; Hyphomicrobiales; Hyphomicrobiaceae.